GACGAACGCUGGCGGCGUGCUUAACACAUGCCAGUCGAACGGAAAGGCCCUGCUUUUGUGGGGUGCUCGAGUGGCGAACGGGUGAGUAACACGUGAGUAACCUGCCCUUGACUUUGGGAUAACUUCAGGAAACUGGGGCUAAUACCGGAUAGGAGCUCCUGCUGCAUGGUGGGGGUUGGAAAGUUUCGGCGGUUGGGGAUGGACUCGCGGCUUAUCAGCUUGUUGGUGGGGUAGUGGCUUACCAAGGCUUUGACGGGUAGCCGGCCUGAGAGGGUGACCGGCCACAUUGGGACUGGGAUACGGCCCAGACUCCUACGGGAGGCAGCAGUGGGGAAUAUUGCACAAUGGGCGGAAGCCUGAUGCAGCAACGCCGCGUGCGGGAUGACGGCCUUCGGGUUGUAAACCGAUUUCGCCUGUGACGAAGCGUGAGUGACGGUAAUGGGUAAAGAAGCACCGGCUAACUACGUG
Molecule: ribosomal RNA, 468 nt
Filed under: uncultured bacterium
Lineage: Bacteria
Description: partial 16S ribosomal RNA
Rfam family: Bacterial small subunit ribosomal RNA
Source: RNAcentral